Molecule: ribosomal RNA, 256 nt
Filed under: uncultured bacterium
Lineage: Bacteria
Description: partial 16S ribosomal RNA
Rfam family: Bacterial small subunit ribosomal RNA
Source: RNAcentral
CAAUAUAAGUGAUGGCGACCGGCGCACGGGUGAGUAACACGUAUCCAACCUGCCGAUAACUCGGGGAUAGCCUUUCGAAAGAAAGAUUAAUACCCGAUGGUAUAAUAAAACCGCAUAGUUUAAUUAUUAAAGAAUUUCGGUUAUCGAUGGGGAUGCGUUCCAUUAGGCAGUUGGUGAGGUAACGGCUCACCAAACCUUCGAUGGAUAGGGGUUCUGAGAGGAAGGUCCCCCACAUUGGAACUGAGACACGGUCCAA